CUGCCUCCAGAAAACCUCCCCAAGAAAUCUGCUCAGCGAGAACCAUUAUAUUUUAAAGAAGAGAACACCACAUCAUAUGAUCAACACUCUAUAGAGAAUUGAAGACACAUAUAUAUUAAUUAUUCUGGAAACUAUAGUUUUAGGCCAUAAAAAUAACUUGAGGUGUAAUCCAACAAUCAAGAAGCAUUUAAGUACCUACUAUGUGCCAGGCAUUGGUUAUACUGGAUACAUAUGAUACAUAGGAAUAUAUCUAAACAUUCUGCUUUUUUGGGCUGGCUGCUUUAAUAUGGUGCAUACCAUUCUAUGGUCAGAAAAGCAUUACAUGGUAUCUUUGUACAUAUGGAUCAAGAGAAAACCCUGGAAGUAGUAAGAACCUUAUUUUAUUCCAAGAUGGUAGCAAGCAUCACUAAGACAUGUAAGACUUGUGGUUGAAGAAUAUAAAGAGAAACAACACUAAUGUAUGCUGCGUAUUUGAAGAAUAUAAGCAUUAGCAAAGUAUUGGAACUUAUUAAAAUUGAUUUCUUGUUUCUGGAAGAAAGUAGUAAAAAAUAAAAGUGAUA
Molecule: long non-coding RNA, 560 nt
Organism: Sarcophilus harrisii (Tasmanian devil)
Lineage: Eukaryota; Metazoa; Chordata; Mammalia; Dasyuromorphia; Dasyuridae
Exons: 3
Source: RefSeq, a predicted model, not a curated record